UCCCUCAUAGCUCAGUGGGUAAAGAAUCUGCCUGAAAGGCAGGAGACUCGGGUUCGAUUCCUGGGUUGGGAA
Molecule: non-coding RNA, 72 nt
Organism: Bos taurus (domestic cattle)
Lineage: Eukaryota; Metazoa; Chordata; Mammalia; Artiodactyla; Bovidae
Source: Rfam